Molecule: long non-coding RNA, 351 nt
Filed under: Ricinus communis (castor bean)
Lineage: Eukaryota; Viridiplantae; Streptophyta; Magnoliopsida; Malpighiales; Euphorbiaceae
Description: long non-coding RNA (RCOM_LNC002835)
Source: RNAcentral
UAAUUCGAGAAAUAAGUAAAUGUGUAGAUAAUACAGGACCAAGAUAACGUUUGGGUGGAUAAACUCGUGAUAGUCAUAUACACGAAUCAACAAAGCUAAAAGUAUGCCUUUUAUAGCAUAAUUUGGAAAAGAUUUAUGGCAUUUCUUAGAACUAUUUAGAUGUGGGUUCUCUUUGUUUUUACUAUUUAUAUGAGAUCCUUGAGAUGGGUUUUCUUGGAUUUUAAUAGGUAAACAAGCAUUAAGCACAAAACGAGUAAAAGAGGUUGAUGAAUUGUCAGAGGACAAAGGGCCUUUACCAAAAGCAAAAAGUAAGAGCUUGAAAUUUGCAAGCCAGGCAAUGAAGAAAGCUGU